ACAACAUUCGGACCGUCGGUCUACCGAGCAAUAUCACCCGCUCGGUGGAAGAUCUUCCCUUUGUUUC
Molecule: microRNA precursor, 67 nt
Filed under: Bombyx mori (domestic silkworm)
Lineage: Eukaryota; Metazoa; Arthropoda; Insecta; Lepidoptera; Bombycidae
Description: mir-2774 microRNA precursor family
Rfam family: mir-2774 microRNA precursor family
Source: Rfam by way of RNAcentral